CUGCGCCUACGGGGGGCAGCAGUGAGGAAUAUUGGUCAAUGGGCUAAGGCCUGAACCAGCCAAGUCGCGUGAGGGAAGACGGUCCUAUGGAUUGUAAACCUCUUUUGUCGGGGAGCAACGAGGCCACGUGUGGCCGAAGUGAGAGUACCCGAAGAAAAAGCAUCGGCUAACUCCGUGCCAGCAGCCGCGGUAAUACGGAGGAUGCGAGCGUUAUCCGGAUUUAUUGGGUUUAAAGGGUGCGUAGGCGGAUUUUUAAGUCAGCGGUAAAAUGUCCGGGCUCAACCCGGGCCGGCCGUUGAAACUGG
RNAcentral lists this ribosomal RNA (305 nucleotides) under uncultured bacterium. Its description in RNAcentral is "bacterial SSU rRNA". It matches the Rfam family "Bacterial small subunit ribosomal RNA", at positions 333 to 636 of the family's 1533-position model. The record is from RNAcentral.